CGCCUAACACAUGCAAGUCGAACGAGAAGCUGUAGCAAUACAGUUGUAGAGUGGCGAACGGGUGAGUAACACGUGGGCAACCUACCCUCGAGUGGGGAAUAACCAGCCGAAAGGUUGGCUAAUACCGCGUACGCUUCCAUCCCUGCGGGGGUGGAAGGAAAGCCGUGCCGUGGGCACGGCGCUCAAGGAUGGGCUCACGUCCUAUCAGCUUGUUGGUAGGGUAACGGCCUACCAAGGCUCCGACGGGUAGCUGGUCUGAGAGGACGAUCAGCCACACUGGCACUGCGACACGGGCCAGACUCCUACGGGAGGCAGCAGUGAGGAAUAUUGCGCAAUGGGCGAAAGCCUGACGCAGCGACGCCGCGUGGGGGAUGAAGGUCUUCGGUUUGUAAACCCC
This 397-nucleotide ribosomal RNA is filed under the name uncultured organism. RNAcentral describes it as "bacterial SSU rRNA". It matches the Rfam family "Bacterial small subunit ribosomal RNA", at positions 45 to 433 of the family's 1533-position model. The record is from RNAcentral.